UACGUAGGUGGCAAGCGUUGUCCGGAUUUAUUGGGUUUAAAGGGUGCGUAGGCGGUCCUAUAAGUCAGUGCUGAAAUAUCCCGGCUUAACCGGGAGGGUGGCAUUGAUACUGUAGGACUUGAGUAAAGUUGAGGUUGGCGGAAUUGACGGUGUAGCGGUGAAAUGCUUAGAUAUCGUCAAGAACACCUAUUGCGAAGGCAGCUAACUAAGCUUUAACUGACGCUGAGGCACGAAAGUGUGGGAAUCAAACAGG
RNAcentral lists this ribosomal RNA (253 nucleotides) under uncultured bacterium. RNAcentral's name for it is "partial 16S ribosomal RNA". It matches the Rfam family "Bacterial small subunit ribosomal RNA", at positions 524 to 776 of the family's 1533-position model. The record is from RNAcentral.